UAUUAGGUUAGUGCAAAAGUAAUUGCAGUUUUUGCAAAUUUAAUUGCAAAGACUGCAAUUACUUUUGCACCAAC
Molecule: microRNA precursor, 74 nt
Filed under: Rhinopithecus roxellana (golden snub-nosed monkey)
Lineage: Eukaryota; Metazoa; Chordata; Mammalia; Primates; Cercopithecidae
Description: miRNA (ENSRROG00000022576.1)
Source: RNAcentral